UACAGAGGGUGCAAGCGUUGUUCGGAAUUAUUGGGCGUAAAGGGCGCGUAGGCGGUGCGGUAAGUCUGUAGUGAAAUCUCUGGGCUCAACUCAGAGUCUGCUGCAGAAACUGCCGUGCUUGAGUGUGGGAGAGGUGAGUGGAAUUCCCGGUGUAGCGGUGAAUGCGUAGAUAUCGGGAGGAACACCUGUGGCGAAAGCGGCUCACUGGACCACAACUGACGCUGAGGCGCGAAGCUAGGGAGCAACAGG
This 249-nucleotide ribosomal RNA is filed under the name uncultured bacterium. RNAcentral's name for it is "partial 16S ribosomal RNA". It matches the Rfam family "Bacterial small subunit ribosomal RNA", at positions 524 to 776 of the family's 1533-position model. The record is from RNAcentral.